ACUCAAAUGAAUAGACGGGGGCCCGCACAAGCGGUGGAGUAUGUGGUUUAAUUCGACGCAACGCGAAGAACCUUACCAGUCCUUGACAUGUCUCGUAUGGGUCUGAGAGAUCAGAUCCUUCGGUUCGGCCGGCGAGAACACAGGUGCUGCAUGGCUGUCGUCAGCUCGUGUCGUGAGAUGUUGGGUUAAGUCCCGCAACGAGCGCAACCCUCAUCUUUAGUUGCCCCCGGGUCAGGCCGGGCACUCUAAAGAAACCGCCGGUGACAAGCCGGAGGAAGGCGGGGAUGACGUCAAGUCCUCAUGGCCCUUACGGACUGGGCUACACACGUACUACAAUGGUGGUGACAGUGGGCAGCGAAGGCGCAAGCUGGAGCCAAUCCCCAAAAGCCAUCUCAGUUCAGAUUGUACCCUGCAACUCGGGUGCAUGAAGUUGGAAUCGCUAGUAAUCGCAGAUCAGCACGCUGCGGUGAAUACGUUCCCGGGCCUUGCACACACCGCCCGU
Molecule: ribosomal RNA, 502 nt
Filed under: uncultured bacterium
Lineage: Bacteria
Description: partial 16S ribosomal RNA
Rfam family: Bacterial small subunit ribosomal RNA
Source: RNAcentral